Molecule: long non-coding RNA, 1492 nt
Filed under: Trifolium pratense (red clover)
Lineage: Eukaryota; Viridiplantae; Streptophyta; Magnoliopsida; Fabales; Fabaceae
Description: long non-coding RNA (TPRA_LNC012704)
Source: RNAcentral
CUAACCUCUUUGAGAUUCUUCCCUCGACAAUUUUCUCUCUUAUGUUCUCAGGUUUUGAAGCAAGGUCUUCUCUUUGCAUCUCGAUUUCUUUUUCCUUCUUCACAGUGGUUUCAGGAAUAUCUUCAAUAGAUACAAACUGAACCUGUGGACUAGCCACAACUUGCAUUGCAAUAUCAUCAACCAACUCCUUGAAUUUCUCACUUCUGCCAACAAAGUCGGUUUCGCAGUUCACUUCAAUUAGAACUCCGAUGCGUGAAUCGUGAAUGUAUGUACCAAUUCUUCCUUCAGCUGCUAGCCUGCCAGAUUUCUUGUCAGCAGAUGACAGCCCCUUUUUCCUGAGAUAUGCCUGCGCCUUUUCAAGAUCACCUUCUGUUUCAGCAAGAGCUUUCUUACAGUCCAUCAUCCCCGCACCAGUUUCUUCCCUUAAUUGCUUAACCAGUGAGGCCGAGAUCACUACUGUUGGUUUCCUGCGACACAACAUUGAACAAUUUAAGACUUGCAGCUAAAGCAUCGGUUUUUUUUUUUCCUCUUAAUUUUUCUUAUGUACAACUGACAACUACAUAUGUCGUUAUUACAUUCAGUUUUGCAUUUUCCCAAAUUAUUACUGGUGUGGACGUGUCAGUCUCGUGUUUGUCCUUUCAUAGACUGACACUAACACGUCACACACAGUUACACCUUAGGAUAAAUUUUGUCUAUACCAAGAAUAAUUCAUUAAUAGGACACUGACAAAAUGCAAGCCAUUGCUUCCACGUUUUAGCACACAACUGAGUCAAUUAAUACUUUUAAGUGUUGUAAAUAACAUAUAUUUAUAAUUAUUUGUAAUAAUUGUUUGAAACAAAUCACCAUAAUUUAAUAAUUAAAUAACUACUUAAUAACAAGUAGGGAAUUCAUAGAACUACUUACUUUGGUUCAGUCUCCUUGGCUUCUGCAGCAGCAGGCUCCUCUUGCACCAGUGUAGUCACUGGUUUUGCUGCAGUUUGUGCAGCCACUUCAGCAGCAAAAUCCUGGCUUUUCUUUUCUAAACCCUCUCCGAGGUUGAACCGUACAAACCUUGUAACUUUAAUAUUUUCUCCGAUUGUUGCAAUUGUCUGCUUAACCACAUCCUUUACCGUCAAUUUAUCGUUCUUGAUGUAGGGCUGCUCAAGCAAGGCCAAAUUCUCGAGUCUUUUCCUUAUCCGUCCUUCAACAAUCCUUGAUCUAAUUUGCUCCGGUUUUGACGCAAGAUCUUCUUUUUGCAUUUCUAUCUCUGUUUCUUUGUUCACGAAUUCCUCAGGAACGUCUUCGGUAACAACAUACUCUACUUGAGGGCAUGCAGCCACUUGCAUGGCUAUAUCAUCAACAAGCUCUUUAAAAAUGUCGCCUCGGGAGACAAAAUCUGUCUCGCAGUUUACUUCAAUUAAAACACCAAUCCUGCUGUCAUGAAUGUAAGAACCUAUCCUUCCUUCAGCAGUUGCUCUUGCUGCUUUCUUAUCUGCACUUGCUAAGCCUUUUU